Bos taurus (domestic cattle) is the source of this 57-nucleotide non-coding RNA. Lineage: Eukaryota; Metazoa; Chordata; Mammalia; Artiodactyla; Bovidae. The record is from Rfam.
UAGCUCAGUUGGUAAAGAGUCUGCCUGCAAUGCAGGAGACCUGGGUUCAAUUCCUGG